This 486-nucleotide ribosomal RNA is filed under the name uncultured bacterium. Its description in RNAcentral is "partial 16S ribosomal RNA". It matches the Rfam family "Bacterial small subunit ribosomal RNA", at positions 30 to 507 of the family's 1533-position model. The record is from RNAcentral.
AUUGAACGCUGGCGGCAUGCCUUACACAUGCAAGUCGAACGGCAGCACGGGUGCUUGCACCUGGUGGCGAGUGGCGAACGGGUGAGUAAUACAUCGGAACAUGUCCUGUAGUGGGGGAUAGCCCGGCGAAAGCCGGAUUAAUACCGCAUACGAUCUACGGAUGAAAGCGGGGGACCUUGGGGCCUCGCGCUAUAGGGUUGGCCGAUGGCUGAUUAGCUAGUUGGUGGGGUAAAGGCCUACCAAGGCGACGAUCAGUAGCUGGUCUGAGAGGACGACCAGCCACACUGGGACUGGGACACGGCCCAGACUCCUACGGGAGGCAGCAGUGGGGAAUUUUGGACAAUGGGCGAAAGCCUGAUCCAGCAAUGCCGCGUGUGUGAAGAAGGCCUUCGGGUUGUAAAGCACUUUUGUCCGGAAAGAAAUCCUUGGCCCUAAUACGGUCGGGGGAUGACGGUACCGGAAGAAUAAGCACCGGCUAACUACGUG